GGGCAUCCCUCCUUGCUAGAGCUUUCCCUGCUGAGCCUAGAAUCUUCUGAUACAGGGGAAGGAGGGGAGCUGAGGAGCUCAGGCAUUUUCAUCUGUCUGCAGUGACCCUGCCACUGAUCAUCACACCUGGGCAUCUUGGAUCUUGUUUGAACUCGAUGGCUUUUCCAGCCCUUUCUCCAGCACACAGUAGGCAAUUUUUCUUUUAGCAAUACCUCUCCAUGCUGCAAGAAGUCACUCAGUUCUCACACAUUUGUAUGGAGAGUCAUAGGAAAAGAAUUUCCACCUACAAAAUCCUGCUGGGAAGCCUUUAGAAACGCCUGCAUCUUCAGUAUUCAGGUGCUGAACUUCCACCAGGAUUCAUCUGGAGAGUUUUCCACUCAGCAAAGCAUCACAGAAAACUGCUGAAGCCAAUGACUUCGAAAGCAUGAAAGGACUUCAGCAUUUAUAUAGGAUUAUGAAUAAUGCCUGUGAUUGUCAUGGAGUCCCAGUAUUACGAAGAAAAAAAUAUGUUGAGAGUUGAAUUGUAUCCUUCAAACACAUUGUAAGCUUCUUUGUGAGGAGAAGUUCCAAUCUGAGUGCUGCAAAGCCCUUCCAGAGCAAUAAUGUGAGGGCAGCUGUGCCUGUAUUGCUGCUCAGCUUGGGUAUUAAAAAGCAGUCAUUGGGACUUGGUUGCACCCUUCUGGUUUCUCAUACAUCCCUGGCUGCAUUCAAACAGGCGCUGCAACAGCUGGUGAAGGGAAGCUAAGAAGUAGAAAGUGCUGUCUUAAGGCUUGGGACUGGGCUGUUCAUGCAUAGAGAGAAUUAAAGGUAUCUGUCUCCCAGGUAAAAGCUUCCGCUGUACAAGAGGCUUUGCUCAGAACAGCUCUACAUUGAGAAAAUCUCUUCAAUAAUGACAUGCUGGGCUUCAGCUGGCCACCUGCAGCAACCAGGAGGAAUUUCCCCCAAGAAACCUUGUCUUCCUAUUUUAGGGGGGGAGUUUCUUAAUCUCCUCUAAUGCAUAAGGAUAACUGCAGCUGGAGAUGCAAUACCU
Molecule: long non-coding RNA, 1030 nt
Organism: Phasianus colchicus (ring-necked pheasant)
Lineage: Eukaryota; Metazoa; Chordata; Aves; Galliformes; Phasianidae
Source: RefSeq, a predicted model, not a curated record